GAUGAACGCUGGCGGCGUGCCUAAUACAUGCAAGUCGAGCGAACGGACGAGAAGCUUGCUCUUCUGAUGUUAGCGGCGGACGGGUGAGUAACACGUGGAUAACCUACCUAUAAGACUGGGAUAACUUCGGGAAACCGGAGCUAAUACCGGAUAAUAUAUUGAACCGCAUGGUUCAAAAGUGAAAGACGGUCUUGCUGUCACUUAUAGAUGGAUCCGCGCUGCAUUAGCUAGUUGGUAAGGUAACGGCUUACCAAGGCAACGAUGCAUAGCCGACCUGAGAGGGUGAUCGGCCACACUGGAACUGAGACACGGUCCAGACUCCUACGGGAGGCAGCAGUAGGGAAUCUUCCGCAAAGGGCGAAAGCCUGACGGAGCAACGCCGCGUGAGUGAUGAAGGUCUUCGGAUCGUAAAACUCUGUUAUUAGGGAAGAACAUAUGUGUAAGUAACUGUGCACAUCUUGACGGUACCUAAUCAGAAAGCCACGGCUAACUACGUG
Molecule: ribosomal RNA, 497 nt
Filed under: uncultured bacterium
Lineage: Bacteria
Description: partial 16S ribosomal RNA
Rfam family: Bacterial small subunit ribosomal RNA
Source: RNAcentral